GACGAACGCUGGCGGCGUGCUUAACACAUGCAAGUCGAGCGGUAAGGCCCUUUCGGGGGUACACGAGCGGCGAACGGGUGAGUAACACGUGGGUGACCUGCCCUUAGCUCUGGGAUAAGCCUGGGAAACUGGGUCUAAUACCGGAUAUGACUCCAUGACGCAUGUUGUGGGGUGGAAAAGCCUUGUGCGGCUAGGGAUGGGCCCGCGGCCUAUCAGCUUGUUGGUGGGGUGAUGGCCUACCAAGGCGACGACGGGUAGCCGGCCUGAGGGGCGACCGGCCACACUGGGACUGAGACACGGCCCAGACUCCUACGGGAGGCAGCAGUGGGGAAUAUUGCACAAUGGGCGAAAGCCUGAUGCAGCGACGCCGCGUGA
Molecule: ribosomal RNA, 375 nt
Filed under: uncultured bacterium
Lineage: Bacteria
Description: bacterial SSU rRNA
Rfam family: Bacterial small subunit ribosomal RNA
Source: RNAcentral